This 497-nucleotide ribosomal RNA is filed under the name uncultured bacterium. RNAcentral describes it as "partial 16S ribosomal RNA". It matches the Rfam family "Bacterial small subunit ribosomal RNA", at positions 28 to 507 of the family's 1533-position model. The record is from RNAcentral.
GAUGAACGCUGGCGGCGUGCCUAAUACAUGCAAGUCGAGCGAACAGACGAGGAGCUUGCUCCUCUGACGUUAGCGGCGGACGGGUGAGUAACACAUGGAUAACCUACCUAUAAGACUGGGAUAACUUCGGGAAACCGGAGCUAAUACCGGAUAAUAUAUUGAACCGCAUGGUUCAGUAGUGAAAGACGGUUUUGCUGUCACUUAUAGAUGGAUCCGCGCCGCAUUAGCUAGUUGGUAAGGUAACAGCUUACCAAGGCAACGAUGCGUAGCCGACCUGAGAGGGUGAUCGGCCACACUGGAACUGAGACACGGUCCAGACUCCUACGGGAGGCAGCAGUAGGGAAUCUUCCGCAAUGGGCGAAAGCCUGACGGAGCAACGCCGCGUGAGUGAUGAAGGUCUUCGGAUCGUAAAACUCUGUUAUUAGGGAAGAACAAAUGUGUAAGUAACUAUGCACGUCUUGACGGUACCUAAUCAGAAAGCCACGGCUAACUACGUG